CCAUGUCCCACCCUCCCUGUUCACCCAAUCUUGCCCCAAGCAACUUUUAUGUUUCCUUGAAUGAAAAAGGUCCUCAAAGGGAAACAUUUUGCUGACAUGGAAGAGAGGAGAUAUAAAAUGGCAGAAGC
This is a long non-coding RNA of Phyllostomus discolor (pale spear-nosed bat), 128 nucleotides long. RefSeq lists it as uncharacterized. The record is from RefSeq and is a predicted model, not a curated record. The transcript has 3 exons. NCBI's taxonomy places the organism in Eukaryota, Metazoa, Chordata, Mammalia, Chiroptera, Phyllostomidae.